GAUGAACGCUGGCGGCGUGCUUAACACAUGCAAGUCGAACGAUGAAGCCCAGCUUGCUGGGUGGAUUAGUGGCGAACGGGUGAGUAACACGUGAGUAACCUGCCCUUAACUCUGGGAUAAGCCUGGGAAACUGGGUCUAAUACCGGAUAGGAGCGUCCACCGCAUGGUGGGUGUUGGAAAGAUUUAUCGGUUUUGGAUGGACUGGCGGCCUAUCAGCUUGUUGGUGGGGUAAUGGCUCACCAAGGCGACGACGGGUAGCCGGCCGGAGAGGGUGACCGGCCACACUGGAACUGAGACACGGUCGAGACUCAUACGGGAGGCAGAAGGGGGGAAUAGUGGACAAUGGGCGCAAGCCUGAUCAAGCCAUACCGCGUGGGUGAAGAAGGCCUGCGGGUUGUAAAGGCCGUUUGUUGGGAAAGAAAAGAAGCAGGUUAAUACCCCGCUGUGCUGACGGUACCCAAAGAAUAAGCACCGGCUAACUUCGUG
Molecule: ribosomal RNA, 486 nt
Filed under: uncultured bacterium
Lineage: Bacteria
Description: partial 16S ribosomal RNA
Rfam family: Bacterial small subunit ribosomal RNA
Source: RNAcentral